GCCCUUGUAGUUUUAAUGUUAAAACAGGCCCUUGGUAAGGGUCAGUUACGAGUUAGAUUCUCGUCGAGGGCACCA
RNAcentral lists this transfer RNA (75 nucleotides) under Pseudomonadota bacterium. RNAcentral's name for it is "tRNA-Thr". It matches the Rfam family "tRNA". From Rfam's summary of the family: Transfer RNA (tRNA) molecules are approximately 80 nucleotides in length. The record is from RNAcentral. RNAcentral also lists the same sequence under 1 other name. Lineage: Bacteria; Pseudomonadati; Pseudomonadota.